Molecule: long non-coding RNA, 444 nt
Filed under: Vulpes vulpes (red fox)
Lineage: Eukaryota; Metazoa; Chordata; Mammalia; Carnivora; Canidae
Description: lncRNA (ENSVVUG00000020056.1)
Source: RNAcentral
UGCAGUGGGAGGCACACCGAGAGUGAGGUAAAUACGGUUAAUUGCCAAGUUUUGUUGGAGGAAGAAAGCUUCAUUAGAGGGAGCUCAAGACAAUUCUCAUUUUCUUCUUUCUUGAAACUUUCCCUGGAAAGUCUGUCCAGUCUUUGGCAAGGAGAACAGGAUUUGAAGCUGGAAGCUUGCUACCAAGUUUUCUUCAGAAAAGAAUAAACUAGAAGGUGACAUAAGGAGAAGUGAGACUGGCUAGGGAUUGAAGAUCCACGGAGCUCUACAACUUUAGUCUUACUCACUCCUGGAGCCAAGGAAUAUGGCUUCUAGGUUUGCGAGACCAGAAGGCGUGCUUCUUCCAAAUGAGUCUCUACCCCUGACUGUGCUGCCUUUCUGCCAUGGUCUUACAUGUUAGUACCUGUACUAAUUCUAAUUUGGAGCAUACAGCAAUCAUUUCUU